GACGAACGCUGGCGGCGUGCUUAACACAUGCAAGUCGAACGGAAAGGCCCUGCGCUUGUUGGGUGCUCGAGUGGCGAACGGGUGAGUAUCACGUGAGUAACCUGCCCUUGUCUUUGGGAUAACUUCAGGAAAAUGCGGCUAAUACCGGAUAUGAUCUCCUGCAGCAUGGUGUGGGUUGGUAAGUUUCGGCUGUUGGGGCUGGUCUCGCUGCUUACCCGCCUGAUGGGCGAGUAGGUGCUGACAAAGGGUUUGAAGGGUAGCCGGCCUGAGCGGCGAGACAGGCACAAUGGGACUGAGAGACGGCCCAGACGCCUACGGGAGGCAACAGGGGAGAAUAUUGCGGAAUGGGGGGAAGCCUGAUGCAGCGACGCCGGGAGCGGAAUAACGGCCUUCGGGGUGUAAACCGCUUUCGACUGUGACGAAGCGUUAGUGACGGUAAUGGGUAAAGAAGCACCGGCUAACUACGUG
Molecule: ribosomal RNA, 468 nt
Filed under: uncultured bacterium
Lineage: Bacteria
Description: partial 16S ribosomal RNA
Rfam family: Bacterial small subunit ribosomal RNA
Source: RNAcentral